Long non-coding RNA from Triticum urartu, 1312 nucleotides. RefSeq lists it as uncharacterized. The record is from RefSeq and is a predicted model, not a curated record. NCBI's taxonomy places the organism in Eukaryota, Viridiplantae, Streptophyta, Magnoliopsida, Poales, Poaceae.
CCCAAAUCCAUCUGCUAUAAAUAUCAGUCCAAAACCCUAGAUUUUAGGAGAGUUGUCCCAUCUUCCAAAUCCUCCUAGUCACCGCCGCCAGUUCUCUCCACCUCGGGAUUGCUCCCGAUCCAAACCCACCAAUCACCCCUAGUCUCCAGAUCCGCCACCACCAACCUUCUCCUAGUCUUCCAAGCUAGCCACCUGGUGCUCAGCGCCGCCUCCCUCUUCUGCUCGAGCAUGUUUGCUCGAGGAGGAGCCCCCGCUCACUCCUGGAUCGACCCAACCGCCGCGCGGGUGACCCGCCGACGACCAUCCCGGCCAGCCAGGCCACCAGAGGGCCACCUCACCCUCGACCACCGCCGCCCGUCUUCGUCGCCACCACAGGAGCAUGCCCUGCCAUGGCCACCUCGUUUGGGAGCAAGCUCGCCGACGUCCUCCUCUUCCUAGCGCCGCCCCAUCCCCGUGAGCCUGUUGUGCGCCUGCCCGAGGCCCCGAGCAGGAGAGCUCGGCCUCGCCUCCUCGCGUCGUCGCUCUGCUCCGAGCGUAGACCGCGCAGCCGACACUGCCCAUCCAUGGACAGCCACCCAGCAGCUCCACAUCGACCUCUCCGCCCGGACCCGCUUCCUCUGCUUCGCCCCAAGCCGGCGUCCGUCGUCCUCGGUUUCACGCUGCCACCGCCGAGGAGAAGCCCGCGCCUACAGCCCAUCCAGCUCGCUGCUCAUCCCCGUUGACCGCAUCGCCCGCCGGAGUCGCCGCCUCGCCAAGCUCCGUCGUCAUGCCGGUGGUCUUCGCGUCGAGGAGCCGGAGUUCAGCCCCCUGCCCCGCAUCACGCCCCGGCAUCUUCAGCCUCGUGCCAUCCAAGCCGGCGUCGUUGCUUGCCUCCUCUGGUGCGCCGCUCCGCCUCAAGACGUGUCCUCGCUGGACCUCACGAGCGCCGCCGCACCUCGACGCCAGCACGUCUCCACGGCCGAAUUUCGACCGGUCGAAACCCUCCCUUGCUUCACCCGAUCCUGCGCCCGCGAAGUCUCUGCAUCGAGCGCCAAGUUCUGCCUCCUGCUCCGCUUCGCCCCUGUCUAAAGCCGAUUGAAUUGGUGCCAGCGCGUUGACCGCGUCGCUGCCCAAGCCGCCUGCCGUUUUCGCCGAGGCCGCGUCAGGCCCAGCCAACGCCCGCCGGCCUGCCUCUUCCACCGUCUGGGCUUGGCCCAUGGUGAGAGAGCCGCAGUGCCCCUUUGUCUUUCUUUUGUUGGGCCUGCUCCAGUUUUAGUUUUGGCCCGUGUAGGUUUUUUUCCCAGUUCUGCGAAUUUAGUAUUUAACCAGGGAU